UUAACUAUAUUUUUUAUGCCCCACCUACGAUAGUAGAGGGGCAUUAUGUUUUCUGGUCUGUGCCUCCUUUCGUUCGUUCGUGCGUCCGUCUGUGCGUCCGUCUGUGCGUCCGUUCGCUUCAGGUUAAAGUUUUUGGUCAAGGUAGUUUUUGAAGAAGUUGAAGUCCAAUCAACUUGAAACUUAGUACACAUGUUCCCCAUGAUAUGAUCUUUCUAAUUUUAAUGCCAAAUUAUAGUUUUGACCCCAAUUUCGUGGUCCACUGAACAUAGAAAAUGAUAGUGCGAAGUUCAGGUUAAAGUUUUUGGUCAAGGUAGUUUUUGAUGAAGUUAAAGUUACAUCAACUUGAAACUUAGUACACAUGUUCCCUAUGAUAUGAUUUUUCUAAUUUUAAUUCCAAAUUAAAGGUUUAACCCCAAUUUUCACGGUCCACUGAACAUAGAAAAUGAUAGUGCGAGUGGGGCAUCCGUGUACUAUGGACACAUUCUUGUUUG
This 491-nucleotide long non-coding RNA is filed under the name Mytilus galloprovincialis (Mediterranean mussel). Lineage: Eukaryota; Metazoa; Mollusca; Bivalvia; Mytilida; Mytilidae. The record is from RNAcentral.